This 415-nucleotide ribosomal RNA is filed under the name uncultured prokaryote. RNAcentral's name for it is "bacterial SSU rRNA". It matches the Rfam family "Bacterial small subunit ribosomal RNA", at positions 505 to 918 of the family's 1533-position model. The record is from RNAcentral.
GUGUCAGCAGCCGCGGUAAUACGGAGGGGGCAAGCGUUGUUCGGAAUUAUUGGGCGUAAAGGGCGCGUAGGCGGUGGAGUAAGUCAAACGUGAAAGCUCUCGGCUUAACCGAGGAGAGUCGUUUGAAACUGCUUCACUUGAGGGCGGGAGAGGAGAGUGGAAUUCCCAGUGUAGCGGUGAAAUGCGUAGAUAUUGGGGAGAACACCGGUGGCGAAGGCGGCUCUCUGGACCGCACCUGACGCUGAGGCGCGAAAGCUAGGGGAGCAAACGGGAUUAGAUACCCCGGUAGUCCUAGCCCUAAACGAUGGGCACUAGGUGUAGGGGGUGACGAACCUCCCUGUGCCGGAGCUAACGCAUUAAGUGCCCCGCCUGGGGAGUACGGUCGCAAGGCUGAAACUCAAAUGAAUUGACGGGG